CGGUGGAGUAUGUGGUUUAAUUCGAUGCAACGCGGAGAACCUACCUGGUCUUGACAUCCCGGAGACCCUUAGGAAACUAGGGGGUGGCUUCCAUCUGGAAGAAUCUGGAGACAGGUGCUGCAUGGCUGUCGUCAGCUCGUGUCGUGAGAUGUUGGGUUAAGUCCCGCAACGAGCGCAACCCUUGCCUUUAGUUGCCAGCAGUUCGGCUGGGCACUCUAAAGGGACUGCCGGUGUUAAACCGGAGGAAGGUGGGGAUGACGUCAAGUCCUCAUGGCCUUUAUGACCAGGGCUACACACGUACUACAAUGGCCGAUACAAAGGGCAGCGACACUGCGAGGUGAAGCCAAUCCCGUAAAAUCGGUCUCAGUCCGGAUUGGAGUCUGCAACUCGACUCCAUGAAGUUGGAAUCGCUAGUAAUCGUGGAUCAGCAUGCCACGGUGAAUACGUUCCCGGGCCUU
This 458-nucleotide ribosomal RNA is filed under the name uncultured Desulfobulbus sp. Its description in RNAcentral is "bacterial SSU rRNA". It matches the Rfam family "Bacterial small subunit ribosomal RNA", at positions 930 to 1382 of the family's 1533-position model. The record is from RNAcentral. Lineage: Bacteria; Pseudomonadati; Thermodesulfobacteriota; Desulfobulbia; Desulfobulbales; Desulfobulbaceae.